This 333-nucleotide long non-coding RNA is filed under the name Capsella rubella. RNAcentral describes it as "long non-coding RNA (CRUB_LNC003002)". The record is from RNAcentral. Lineage: Eukaryota; Viridiplantae; Streptophyta; Magnoliopsida; Brassicales; Brassicaceae.
UUUAACAUAAUAUGUUUAUCAUCUGACAUGUUUUAAAUAAUUUUGUGAAAAAACAACAAAAAUAUUUAAUUUUCUUUUGGUAGAAUUUAAAAUAUAUAUUAAUAAAAUUUGUUUUUUAUUUUUACCUUUUGCAAUUUCAGCUUAUAAUAGUAAGAGUUUCAUCUCAAUAGUUAUUUGUUUACGCAACACAGUUGGGCCGGUGAAGGGACCAGUCGUCACGGUUUGUUUUAAUUUAGCCAGCAUCAAAGCCACCGUAAAGACUUUUCUCGGUCGUUCGUGGAGAGAAUAUUCAACAGUUAAUUAGAGUUAUAAAGUCAUAUAUUCAAAGGCAUC